GACGAACGCUGGCGGCGUGCUUAACACAUGCAAGUCGAACGGAAAGGCCCUGCUUUUGUGGGGUGCUCGAGUGGCGAACGGGUGAGUAACACGUGAGUAACCUGCCCUUGACUUUGGGAUAACUUCAGGAAACUGGGGCUAAUACCGGAUAGGAGCUCCUGCUGCAUGGUGGGGGUUGGAAAGUUUCGGCGGUUGGGGAUGGACUCGCGGCUUAUCAGCUUGUUGGUGGGGUAGUGGCUUACCAAGGCUUUGACGGGUAGCCGGCCUGAGAGGGUGACCGGCCACAUGGGGACUGAGAUACGGCCCAGACUCCUACGGGAGGCAGCAGUGGGGAAUAUUGCACAAUGGGCGGAAGCCUGAUGCAGCAACGCCGCGUGCGGGAGGACGGCCUUCGGGUGGUAAACCGCUUUCGCCUGUGACGAAGCGUGAGUGACGGUAAUGGGUAAAGAAGCACCGGCUAACUACGU
RNAcentral lists this ribosomal RNA (467 nucleotides) under uncultured bacterium. RNAcentral's name for it is "partial 16S ribosomal RNA". It matches the Rfam family "Bacterial small subunit ribosomal RNA", at positions 28 to 506 of the family's 1533-position model. The record is from RNAcentral.